This 254-nucleotide ribosomal RNA is filed under the name uncultured bacterium. Its description in RNAcentral is "partial 16S ribosomal RNA". It matches the Rfam family "Bacterial small subunit ribosomal RNA", at positions 527 to 779 of the family's 1533-position model. The record is from RNAcentral.
CGAAGGGGCUAGCGUUGUUCGGAAUUACUGGGGCGUAAAAGCGCACGUAGGCGGAUACUUAAGUUAGGGGUGAAAUCCCGAGGCUCAACCUCGGAACUGCCUCCGAUACUGGGUAUCUCGAGUUCGAGAGAGGUGAGUGGAAUUCCGAGUGUAGAGGUGAAAUUCGUAGAUAUUCGGAGGAACACCAGUGGCGAAGGCGGCUCACUGGCUCGAUACUGACGCUGAGGUGCGAAAGCGUGGGAGCAAACAGGAUU